UCAGGAUGAACGCUGGCGGCGUGCUUAACACAUGCAAGUCGAACGAGGGUAGUAAGGUACGGAAGUUUUCGGACGGAAGAUCUUGUACUGAGUGGCGGACGGGUGAGUAACGCGUGGGAAACCUGCCCUGUUCCGGGGGAUACCAGUUGGAAACGACUGUUAAUACCGCAUAAGCGCACAGCACCGCAUGGUGCAGUGUGAAAAACUCCGGUGGAACAGGGAUGGUCCCGCGUCUGAUUAGGCAGUUGGCAGGGUAACGGCCUACCAAACCGACGAUCAGUAGCCGGCCUGAGAGGGUGAACGGCCACAUUGGGACUGAGACACGGCCCAAACUCCUACGGGAGGCAGCAGUGGGGAAUAUUGCACAAUGGAGGAAACUCUGAUGCAGCGACGCCGCGUGAGUGAUGAAGUAUUUCGGUAUGUAAAGCUCUUUCAGCAGGGAAGAUAAUGACGGUACCUGCAUAAGAAGCCCCGGCUAACUACGUGCC
Molecule: ribosomal RNA, 488 nt
Filed under: uncultured bacterium
Lineage: Bacteria
Description: bacterial SSU rRNA
Rfam family: Bacterial small subunit ribosomal RNA
Source: RNAcentral